GACGAACGCUAGCGGCGUGCUUAACACAUGCAAGUCGAACGGAAAGGCCCUGCUUUUGUGGGGUGCUCGAGUGGCGAACGGGUGAGUAACACGUGAGUAACCUGCCCUUGACUUUGGGAUAACUUCAGGAAACUGGGGCUAAUACCGGAUAGGAGCUCCUGCUGCAUGGUGGGGGUUGGAAAGUUUCGGCGGUUGGGGAUGGACUCGCGGCUUAUCAGCUUGUUGGUGGGGUAGUGGCUUACCAAGGCUUUGACGGGUAGCCGGCCUGAGAGGGUGACCGGCCACAAUGGGACUGAGAUACGGCCCAGACUCCUACGGGAGGCAGCAGGGGGGAAUAUUGCACAAUGGGCGGAAGCCUGAUGCAGCAACGCCGCGUGCGGGAUGACGGACUUCGGGUUGUAAACCGCUUUCGCCUGUGACGAAGCGUGAGUGACGGUAAUGGGUAAAGAAGCACCGGCUAACUACGUG
RNAcentral lists this ribosomal RNA (468 nucleotides) under uncultured bacterium. RNAcentral describes it as "partial 16S ribosomal RNA". It matches the Rfam family "Bacterial small subunit ribosomal RNA", at positions 28 to 507 of the family's 1533-position model. The record is from RNAcentral.